CCCCCCUCAAGAUGAGAUUUCCCAGUAUGUAAGACCCCUUGAAGACGACGAGGUAGAUAGGUUGGAGGUGGAAGUGCAGCAAUGCAUGGAGCUGACCAAUACUAAUCGGUCGAGGGCUUAUCCUA
Molecule: ribosomal RNA, 125 nt
Filed under: Paenibacillus sp. VCA1
Lineage: Bacteria; Bacillati; Bacillota; Bacilli; Caryophanales; Paenibacillaceae
Description: partial 23S ribosomal RNA
Rfam family: Bacterial large subunit ribosomal RNA
Source: RNAcentral